GAUGAACGCUGGCGGCGUGCCUAAUACAUGCAAGUCGAGCGGACAGACGAGGAGCUUGCUCCGCUCACGUUUGCGGAGCGCGGGAGAGAAACACGUGUAUAACCUACCUAUAAUAGGGGGAUAUCUUCGGGAAACCGGAGAUAAUACGGUAGGAGAUAUUGAACCGCAGGGGGCAAUGGAGAAAGACGGUUUUGCUGUCACGUAUAGAUGCAUCUGGGCCGCAUUAGCUGGUUGUUAAGGUAACGGCCUACGAAGGGUACGAUGCGUAGCCGAACUGAGAGGGUGAUCGGCCACACUGGAGCUGAGACACGGUCCAGACGCCUGCGGGAGGCAGCAGUAGGGAAUCGUACGCAAAGGGCGAAAGCUUGACGGAGCAACGCCGCGUGAGUUAUGAAGGUCUUCGGAGCGUAAAACUCUGUUAUGAGGGAAGAACAAAUGUGUAAGUAACUAUGCACGUCUUGACGGUACCUAAUCAGAAAGCCACGGCUAACUACGUG
RNAcentral lists this ribosomal RNA (497 nucleotides) under uncultured bacterium. RNAcentral's name for it is "partial 16S ribosomal RNA". It matches the Rfam family "Bacterial small subunit ribosomal RNA", at positions 28 to 507 of the family's 1533-position model. The record is from RNAcentral.